CCUACGGGUGGCAGCAGCGAGGAAUAUUGGUCAAUGGACGAGAGUCUGAACCAGCCAAGUAGCGUGAAGGAUGACUGCCCUAUGGGUUGUAAACUUCUUUUAUAUGGGAAUAAAGUGUUCCACGUGUGGGAUUUUGUAUGUACCAUAUGAAUAAGGAUCGGCUAACUCCGUGCCAGCAGCCGCGGUAAUACGGAGGAUCCGAGCGUUAUCCGGAUUUAUUGGGUUUAAAGGGAGCGUAGGUGGAUUGUUAAGUCAGUUGUGAAAGUUUGCGGCUCAACCGUAAAAUUGCAGUUGAAACUGGCAGUCUUGAGUACAGUAGAGGUGGGCGGAAUUCGUGGUGUAGCGGUGAAAUGCUUAGAUAUCACGAAGAACUCCGAUUGCGAAGGCAGUUCACUGGACUGCAACUGACACUGAGGCUCGAAAGUGUGGGUAUCAAACAGGAUUAGAUACCCGGGUAGUC
This 460-nucleotide ribosomal RNA is filed under the name uncultured bacterium. Its description in RNAcentral is "partial 16S ribosomal RNA". It matches the Rfam family "Bacterial small subunit ribosomal RNA", at positions 338 to 795 of the family's 1533-position model. The record is from RNAcentral.